CGGCCGGUGGCCCGGACACGACAGAGACUGCCCCUUUGGGACGGUGGCGACCUUACGGUCUCGUCGUGGCCGGUCGC
This 77-nucleotide transfer RNA is filed under the name Streptomyces sp. TS71-3. RNAcentral's name for it is "tRNA-Pro". The record is from RNAcentral. Lineage: Bacteria; Bacillati; Actinomycetota; Actinomycetes; Kitasatosporales; Streptomycetaceae.